Phacochoerus africanus (Common warthog) is the source of this 2316-nucleotide long non-coding RNA. RefSeq lists it as uncharacterized. The record is from RefSeq and is a predicted model, not a curated record. Lineage: Eukaryota; Metazoa; Chordata; Mammalia; Artiodactyla; Suidae. The transcript has 5 exons.
CAAAUUUCCUUUGGGAUCAUUGAAGGAGAGCUGUGGCCUGUCUCAUGGACGACUCCAUGAGAGUAUUUUCCCUGGAUCUGGGGGUGAGUAUCAGAUUUGAGGGGAUCAUGACGUGUCCCGUAAAAAAGUGUAAAGUUCACUUUUAAUCCCUAGGCGUCUUCAGUAGGAAUUCUCCUUGGGGUCUGACUCUUUCCUUUUUCAGCUUUUUCACAUGCUUGGGAAGUCACUGUGUGAGAAGAGAUGAGCACACAGAGCUCUGCACUCCCCUGUGGGGCUGGAAGGGCCGGUGGGAGCCACAGCCGGCUGGGGGCCGUGAGCCUGACUGUGCAGACUCUGCUGUCAGUGAGGGCAUGGAAUCCUGAAGGCAAAGGAGAUCAUCCUUGCCUAUCAGAGAACUGUAAUCUGGGACAUGUGAAUCUUUUACCCAUCUCUUCGAGACACCUGAAGACAGAGCUAAACCUUCUGUUUCCAGUGAUCAGGGGCUGGAUGAAGCCAGCCUCAGGAUAAUAAACCAGUACAAAGUUGGUGGAUGAAGGGAAAAUGGCACUUUUGAUGUCAUAUGUUUGAAGAUCGUUAAAACAUUUGAGUCUUCCAAGAAGUCUGAUUUGCAGAAUUGGCUGAGAAUGCCUGGAAUAGAAGCACACACCUGACAAAAAAGUUGGAUAAACGCUGCUAAUUGGGCGAGAGAAAGUGCUGGAACACUGAGCUGGCAGACCAGCCUCAGGAGGGGUCUUCCAAGGCACCAUAGCACUUUGGGCCUUAAAGAUCAUUAGCUCCAACCCUCUCAAUUAAGGAUAAAGAAACUCAACCUAAAGGAGACCAUGACUUCACACAACCAGGGCUAGAACAGUUGUAACUUGACACUUUGUUCUGUGGUGUAAGUGCUGGGUCUCCGCUCCACCCAGCAUCUCCCUCAUCUAGGAAAGGAAAUAAAUGGGCUCAAGUUCAAUUCUGAGAGGAUUCUAAAGAGAGAUGAUAUCGUUGCACCCUGUGCAAACAAGGCCUGAGACAUACGCCUCCCCGGAGGGGGUGGGCCUCGAAUUGGAGGUGAUGGUCGAGAAACACCUGGGAAGGUUCAUUCCAGGCCAUGCUCCCGAGGCCCCUGUGCAGUGUCCAGGCCACUUUCAAGGAUAUUAACUCACCAUGGCCAUGAAGGCAAUGCUGUCUGUUUUGCGGGUGAGAAAACAACAGAACUCGAGGAGGUUUGGCGAUGUGUCCAACUAAGGUCUAGCGUGUCAACGAAGGUCCAAGUGAGCCUGGAACCAAACCACCACGGAAGCUCCCAUCCUCCCAUUCCCUUACCCAAGUUCGGUGAGGCCCAGACCUGCCUGCACCCUGGUUCUUCCAGAAAUCUCCUUUCUUCCUCUGCCGGGCCUUUGCUCAGCUCUUGCUCUUCUGCUGUUCCCCAGGUGAUAAUUUCAGCUCCCAAGCAUGCUUCCUCAUUUGAGAAACAAAACACAGCCGUGAUGCCUAGUGUAUUGUGACCUAUGUGGAGGAGCAGGUGUGACCAUCACUGAGUCAGUGCCUAAUAAGAAGCAGCCACUGGGUUUGAUUAAUGUCUUUAGAAAAAGGAUAGUUUUUCUUACCCCAUAAUUGGCAUUACUGCGGAGGGAGCCAGAAGCUAGAGCUGAUGGAAGAAACCCUGGGACGGGGUGUCUUCCUCUCCUGUGGGACCUGCAACGCCUCGCAGAGCCAGCAGCAAUGCGCAGCCUCACUUGUGCAGAAUCGUCCAGUCUGUCCUCUUCCUACCUUUGCAGCUAAAGAUAGAACUCCUUCUGUUUUCUCUGAUUCGAGGAGCGGUCUCUCCAAACAUCCUGCCUGUUGUCCCCAAAGCAGAUCCACUCCUCACAGCGUGAAAUACUUUUUCUGGUUUUCCUUUUCUUUUUUUCCCAUUUUUCUCCCCCAGGUUUUGCAAAGUAACUGUGAAACCACCUCCUGCAGUGGAAUGAAUCUGCCCAGUGGAAUGAAUAGCCCAAGGGAUAUUUUUUUACCCUGAAUGACAACAGCUCCUCUAAGAGCGAAGUUUCUCUUUGCAGAGCUAUCUUACUGUUAUUUGGGACGGAUGGACUGUCAGGCUUUUCUGCCAGAAGCAGAAAUGCUAAUCAAGCCUUGAGCAGGAUGGGACCGGGACUCAAACUCCUUAAGGUGGCUGAGACCCACGUGGACGGCGGGUUUUGCUCAAUCUCAUUUGUGUAGGUCCUUCUGGAGCUGCGGCCUGUAAGAAACUCCGGCCGUCUGGAGAAUGUAGUUCUAACCGAGCUCAUGGCAGUACAUUUUUCACCAAAUUACAUUAGCAUAUAAAACCUGGGUUAUUGA